CUUAUGCGUUGUUGGGUAGGGGAGCGUUCUGUAAGCCUGUGAAGGUGUACUGUGAGGUAUGCUGGAGGUAUCAGAAGUGCGAAUGCUGACAUAAGUAACGAUAAAGCGGGUGAAAAGCCCGCUCGCCGGAAGACCAAGGGUUCCUGUCCAACGUUAAUCGGGGCAGGGUGAGUCGACCCCUAAGGCGAGGCCGAAAGGCGUAGUCGAUGGGAAACAGGUUAAUAUUCCUGUACUUGGUGUUACUGCGAAGGGGGGACGGAGAAGGCUAUGUUGGCCGGGCGACGGUUGUCCCGGUUUAAGCGUGUAGGCUGGUUUUCCAGGCAAAUCCGGAAAACUAAGGCUGAGGCGUGAUGACGAGGCACUACGGUGCUGAAGCAACAAAUGCCCUGCUUCCAGGAAAAGCCUCUAAGCAUCAGGUAACCAUCAAAUCGUACCCCAAACCGACACAGGUGGUCAGGUAGAGAAUACCAAGGCGCUUGAGAGAACUCGGGUGAAGGAACUAGGCAAAAUGGUGCCGUAACUUCGGGAGAAGGCACGCUGAUAUGUAGGUGAAGCGACUUGCUCGUGGAGCUGAAAUCAGUCGAAGAUACCAGCUGGCUGCAACUGUUUAUUAAAAACACAGCACUGUGCAAACACGAAAGUGGACGUAUACGGUGUGACGCCUGCCCGGUGCCGGAAGGUUAAUUGAUGGGGUUAGCGGUAACGCGAAGCUCUUGAUCGAAGCCCCGGUAAACGGCGGCCGUAACUAUAACGGUCCUAAGGUAGCGAAAUUCCUUGUCGGGUAAGUUCCGACCUGCACGAAUGGCGUAAUGAUGGCCAGGCUGUCUCCACCCGAGACUCAGUGAAAUUGAACUCGCUGUGAAGAUGCAGUGUACCCGCGGCAAGACGGAAAGACCCCGUGAACCUUUACUAUAGCUUGACACUGAACAUUGAGCCUUGAUGUGUAGGAUAGGUGGGAGGCUUUGAAGUGUGGACGCCAGUCUGCAUGGAGCCGGCCUUGAAAUACCACCCUUUAAUGUUUGAUGUUCUAACGUUGGCCCCUGAUCGGGGUUGCGGACAGUGUCUGGUGGGUAGUUUGACUGGGGCGGUCUCCUCCUAAAGAGUAACGGAGGAGCACGAAGGUUGGCUAAUCCUGGUCGGACAUCAGGAGGUUAGUGCAAUGGCAUAAGCCAGCUUGACUGCGAGCGUGACGGCGCGAGCAGGUGCGAAAGCAGGUCAUAGUGAUCCGGUGGUUCUGAAUGGAAGGGCCAUCGCUCAACGGAUAAAAGGUACUCCGGGGAUAACAGGCUGAUACCGCCCAAGAGUUCAUAUCGACGGCGGUGUUUGGCACCUCGAUGUCGGCUCAUCACAUCCUGGGGCUGAAGUAGGUCCCAAGGGUAUGGCUGUUCGCCAUUUAAAGUGGUACGCGAGCUGGGUUUAGAACGUCGUGAGACAGUUCGGUCCCUAUCUGCCGUGGGCGCUGGAGAACUGAGGGGGGCUGCUCCUAGUACGAGAGGACCGGAGUGGACGCAUCACUGGUGUUCGGGUUGUCAUGCCAAUGGCACUGCCCGGUAGCUAAAUGCGGAAGAGAUAAGUGCUGAAAGCAUCUAAGCACGAAACUUGCCCCGAGAUG
Molecule: ribosomal RNA, 1612 nt
Filed under: Escherichia coli
Lineage: Bacteria; Pseudomonadati; Pseudomonadota; Gammaproteobacteria; Enterobacterales; Enterobacteriaceae
Description: partial 23S ribosomal RNA
Rfam family: Bacterial large subunit ribosomal RNA
Source: RNAcentral